Molecule: ribosomal RNA, 450 nt
Filed under: uncultured bacterium
Lineage: Bacteria
Description: bacterial SSU rRNA
Rfam family: Bacterial small subunit ribosomal RNA
Source: RNAcentral
GUUUGAUCCUGGCUCAGAACGAACGCUGGCGGCAUGCCUAACACAUGCAAGUCGAACGAAGCCUUCGGGCUUAGUGGCGCACGGGUGCGUAACGCGUGGGAACCUACCAUCAGGUUCGGAAUAACAGUUAGAAAUGACUGCUAAUACCGGAUAAUGUCUUCGGACCAAAGAUUUAUCGCCUUUUGAUGGGCCCGCGUAAGAUUAGGUAGUUGGUGGGGUAAAGGCCUACCAAGCCGACGAUCUUUAGCUGGUCUGAGAGGAUGAUCAGCCACACUGGGACUGAGACACGGCCCAGACUCCUACGGGAGGCAGCAGUGGGGAAUAUUGGACAAUGGGCGAAAGCCUGAUCCAGCAAUGCCGCGUGAGUGAUGAAGGCCUUAGGGUUGUAAAGCUCUUUUACUGGGGAUGAUAAUGACAGUACCCAGAGAAUAAGCUCCGGCUAACUCCGUG